GAGGCUAACAGAGCCAAUUGGAGCACAGUAUUCAAAACCAUGGGCGUUUGGGUACAAUGAACUUAAAACAAAUUGCAGCUGAGAAGAACAUUCCACACUAAAUAUAAAUACAGAGAAGAACAUCGCCAGCUGAGCUCUGUACUUGGAAGGAAGCAUUCUUCAUUUUCCGAUUCUGCUCCUCCUUCCCAUGGCUUCCUCCACCGUCAACCGAUGGCUGAGGCCCGAGGUGUAUCCACUAUUUGCAGCCGUAGGAGUAGCUGUUGGAAUUUGUGGGUUUCAAUUGAUUCGCAACGUCUGUAUCAAUCCUGAAGUCAGGGUGAACAAAGAAAACAGGGCAGCAGGAGUGUUGGAGAACUUUUCAGAAGGGGAGAAAUAUGCAGAGCAUGGUCUUAGGAAGUUCGUUCGUAACAGGUCUCCAGAGAUCAUGCCAUCUAUCAAUGGCUUCUUCAGCGACCCGAAAUGAUGGCCAAGUUUAAACCUAAAGUUUAUUGCUUGUUUAUGAUUAACUAAUUUCAAUUGUAUCAACUAAUUCCAAUCGUGUCACUUUACUCCUUUAUUUUUCUUUAAUUUAUGUACCUUUCUACUUAAUAUGAUAUCCGCAACCUUGUGUAACAUUUGUGAUUCAUUGAGCAGGCAACACUGUGAAAAA
This 649-nucleotide unclassified non-coding RNA is filed under the name Hevea brasiliensis (rubber tree). Lineage: Eukaryota; Viridiplantae; Streptophyta; Magnoliopsida; Malpighiales; Euphorbiaceae. The record is from RNAcentral.